GCUGCUCUGAUAAUCACACACCUCUCCGUGGUGAGCAGCAGGCAACGAUCUUAUGGUCGACUGAGAUGUGA
RNAcentral lists this ribozyme (71 nucleotides) under Faecalibacterium prausnitzii. RNAcentral's name for it is "HDV ribozyme from F. prausnitzii". It matches the Rfam family "HDV ribozyme from F. prausnitzii". Lineage: Bacteria; Bacillati; Bacillota; Clostridia; Eubacteriales; Oscillospiraceae. The record is from RNAcentral.